This 239-nucleotide ribosomal RNA is filed under the name uncultured bacterium. Its description in RNAcentral is "partial 16S ribosomal RNA". It matches the Rfam family "Bacterial small subunit ribosomal RNA", at positions 95 to 334 of the family's 1533-position model. The record is from RNAcentral.
CCGGCGCACGGGUGCGUAACGCGUAUGCAACCUACCUUAUACAAAGGGAUAGCCCAUGGAAACGUGGAUUAAUACCUUAUGGUACUAUAAAGCUGCAUAGCUUAAUAGUUAAAACUUCGGUGGUAUAAGAUGGGCAUGCGUAGGAUUAGCUAGAUGGUGAGGUAACGGCCCGCCAUGGCAACGAUCCUUAGGGGUUCUGAGAGGAUUAUCCCCCACACUGGUACUGAGACACGGACCAG